GAUGUUCUAACGUGGACCCGUGAUCCGGGUUGCGGACAGUGUCUGGUGGGUAGUUUGACUGGGGCGGUCUCCUCCUAAAGAGUAACGGAGGAGCACGAAGGUUGGCUAAUCCUGGUCGGACAUCAGGAGGUUAGUGCAAUGGCAUAAGCCAGCUUGACUGCGAGCGUGACGGCGCGAGCAGGUGCGAAAGCAGGUCAUAGUGAUCCGGUGGUUCUGAAUGGAAGGGCCAUCGCUCAACGGAUAAAAGGUACUCCGGGGAUAACAGGCUGAUACCGCCCAAGAGUUCAUAUCGACGGCGGUGUUUGGCACCUCGAUGUCGGCUCAUCACAUCCUGGGGCUGAAGUAGGUCCCAAGGGUAUGGCUGUUCGCCAUUUAAAGUGGUACGCGAGCUGGGUUUAGAACGUCGUGAGACAGUUCGGUCCCUAUCUGCCGUGGGCGCUGGAGAACUGAGGGGGGCUGCUCCUAGUACGAGAGGACCGGAGUGGACGCAUCACUGGUGUUCGGGUUGUCAUGCCAAUGGCACUGCCCGGUAGCUAAAUGCGGAAGAGAUAAGUGCUGAAAGCAUCUAAGCACGAAACUUGCCCCGAGAUGAGUUCUCCCUGAGACUUUAGGUCUCCUGAAGGAACGUUGAAGACGACGACGUUGAUAGGCCGGGUGUGUAAGCGCAGCGAUGCGUUGAGCUAACCGGUACUAAUGAACCGUGAGGCUUAACCUUACA
This 718-nucleotide ribosomal RNA is filed under the name Salmonella enterica. RNAcentral describes it as "partial 23S ribosomal RNA". It matches the Rfam family "Bacterial large subunit ribosomal RNA", at positions 2216 to 2925 of the family's 2925-position model. The record is from RNAcentral. Lineage: Bacteria; Pseudomonadati; Pseudomonadota; Gammaproteobacteria; Enterobacterales; Enterobacteriaceae. RNAcentral also lists the same sequence under 1 other name.